GCAUAAGCCAGCUUGACUGCGAGCGUGACGGCGCGAGCAGGUGCGAAAGCAGGUCAUAGUGAUCCGGUGGUUCUGAAUGGAAGGGCCAUCGCUCAACGGAUAAAAGGUACUCCGGGGAUAACAGGCUGAUACCGCCCAAGAGUUCAUAUCGACGGCGGUGUUUGGCACCUCGAUGUCGGCUCAUCACAUCCUGGGGCUGAAGUAGGUCCCAAGGGUAUGGCUGUUCGCCAUUUAAAGUGGUACGCGAGCUGGGUUUAGAACGUCGUGAGACAGUUCGGUCCCUAUCUGCCGUGGGCGCUGGAGAACUGAGGGGGGCUGCUCCUAGUACGAGAGGACCGGAGUGGACGCAUCACUGGUGUUCGGGUUGUCAUGCCAAUGGCACUGCCCGGUAGCUAAAUGCGGAAGAGAUAAGUGCUGAAAGCAUCUAAGCACGAAACUUGCCCCGAGAUGAGUUCUCCCUGAGACUUUAGGUCUCCUGAAGGAACGUUGAAGACGACGACGUUGAUAGGCCGGGUGUGUAAGCGCAGCGAUGCGUUGAGCUAACCGGUACUAAUGAACCGUGAGGCUUAACCUU
This 574-nucleotide ribosomal RNA is filed under the name Salmonella enterica. RNAcentral's name for it is "partial 23S ribosomal RNA". It matches the Rfam family "Bacterial large subunit ribosomal RNA", at positions 2357 to 2925 of the family's 2925-position model. Lineage: Bacteria; Pseudomonadati; Pseudomonadota; Gammaproteobacteria; Enterobacterales; Enterobacteriaceae. The record is from RNAcentral.